AAAGGUAGCGUAAUCAUUAGUUUUUUAAUUAAAAGCUUGUAUGAAUGGUCGGACGAGGUAAAGACUGUCUUUAUUUAAUUGAUAGUAGAAUUUAACUUUUAAGUAAAAAGGCUUAAAUUUUCCUAAUAGACGAGAAGACCCUAUAGAUCUUUAUAGAUUUGGUUUUUAAUUAUAUUAAGAUUAUUUAAUAAUUAAGGAUUAGAUUUAUUUUAUUGGGGUAAUAUAAAGAUUUAAAAAAUUCUUUGAAUAUUAAAACAUAGAUAAUUGGUUAAUUGAUCCAAUAUUAUUGAUUAUAAGAUUAAGUUACCUUAGGGAUAACAGCGUAAUUUUUUUGGAGAGUUCAUAUCGAUAAAAAAGU
Molecule: ribosomal RNA, 358 nt
Filed under: Tetracha affinis brevisulcata
Lineage: Eukaryota; Metazoa; Arthropoda; Insecta; Coleoptera; Carabidae
Description: partial 16S ribosomal RNA
Source: RNAcentral